RNAcentral lists this ribosomal RNA (253 nucleotides) under uncultured bacterium. RNAcentral's name for it is "partial 16S ribosomal RNA". It matches the Rfam family "Bacterial small subunit ribosomal RNA", at positions 524 to 776 of the family's 1533-position model. The record is from RNAcentral.
UACGUAGGGAGCAAGCGUUGUCCGGAAUCAUUGGGCGUAAAGCGCGCGUAGGCGGCCCUGUAAGUCCGUUGUGAAAGUCAAAGGCUCAACCUUUGAAAGCCGAUGGAUACUGCAGGGCUAGAGUCCGGAAGAGGCGAGUGGAAUUCCUGGUGUAGCGGUGGAAUGCGCAGAUAUCAGGAGGAACACCAAUGGCGAAGGCAGCUUGCUGGGACGGUACUGACGCUGAGACGCGAAAGCGUGGGGAGCGAACAGG